Molecule: ribosomal RNA, 263 nt
Filed under: uncultured Lactobacillus sp.
Lineage: Bacteria; Bacillati; Bacillota; Bacilli; Lactobacillales; Lactobacillaceae
Description: partial 16S ribosomal RNA
Rfam family: Bacterial small subunit ribosomal RNA
Source: RNAcentral
AGGGCGAUGAUGCAUAGCCGAGUUGAGAGACUGAUCGGCCACAUUGGGACUGAGACACGGCCCAAAACUCUACGGGGAGGCAGCAGUAGGAAUCUUCCACAAUGGACGCGAGUCUGAUGGAGCAACGCCGCGUGAGUGAAGUAAGGUUUUCGGAUCGUAAAAGCUCUGUUGUUGGUGAAGAAGGAUAGAGGUAGUAACUGGCCUUUAUUUGACGGUAAUCAACCAGAAGUCACGGCUAACUACGUGCCAGCAGCCGCGGUAAU